CCUACGGGGGGCAGCAGUGGGGAAUCUUCCGCAAUGGGCGAAAGCCUGACGGAGCAACGCCGCGUGAUCGAAUGAAGGCCUUCGGGUUGUAAAGAUCUGUUGACAGGGACGAAUAAGCAAUGCAAAUAGUUUUGUGUAUGACGGUACCUGUUUAGAAAGCUCCGGCUAACUACGUGCCAGCAGCCGCGGUAAUACGUAGGGAGCAAGCGUUGUCCGGAAUUACUGGGCGUAAAGGGAGCGUAGGCGGGAAGCCAAGUCAGCUGUGAAAACUACGGGCUUAACCUGUAGACUGCAGUUGAAACUGGCUUUCUUGAGUGAAGUAGAGGUUGGCGGAAUUCCGAGUGUAGCGGUGAAAUGCGUAGAUAUUCGGAGGAACACCGGUGGCGAAGGCGGCCAACUGGGCUUUAACUGACGCUGAGGCUCGAAAGUGUGGGGAGCAAACAGGAUUAGAUACCCGGGUAGUC
Molecule: ribosomal RNA, 464 nt
Filed under: uncultured bacterium
Lineage: Bacteria
Description: partial 16S ribosomal RNA
Rfam family: Bacterial small subunit ribosomal RNA
Source: RNAcentral